UGUAGCUCAGUGGUAGAGCACGUGCCUAGUAUGUAUGAGACCCUGGGUUUGAUGCCCAUCA
This 61-nucleotide transfer RNA is filed under the name Cavia porcellus (domestic guinea pig). It matches the Rfam family "tRNA", at positions 6 to 65 of the family's 71-position model. Rfam says of the family: Transfer RNA (tRNA) molecules are approximately 80 nucleotides in length. Lineage: Eukaryota; Metazoa; Chordata; Mammalia; Rodentia; Caviidae. The record is from Rfam by way of RNAcentral.